GACGACGGUUGUAUAGACUCUACAUACGGCAGAGUGAGCAGCAAUAGCUCAAAUUUGAAAUCUGGCGUCUUCGACGUCCGAGUUGUAAUUUGUAGAGGAUGCUUCUGAGUAACCACCGACCUAAGUUCCUUGGAACAGGACGUCAUAGAGGGUGAGAAUCCCGUAUGCGGUCGGAAAGGUGCUCUAUACGUAGCUCCUUCGACGAGUCGAGUUGUUUGGGAAUGCAGCUCUAAAUGGGAGGUAAAUUUCUUCUAAAGCUAAAUAUUGGCCAGAGACCGAUAGCGCACAAGUAGAGUGAUCGAAAGAUGAAAAGCACUUUGGAAAGAGAGUUAAAAAGCACGUGAAAUUGUUAAAAGGGAAGGGAUUGCAACCAGACUUGCUCGCGGUGUUCCGCCGGUCUUCUGACCGGUCUACUCGCCGCGUUGCAGGCCAGCAUCGUCUGGUGCCGCUGGAUAAGACUUGAGGAAUGUAGCUCCCUCGGGAGUGUUAUAGCCUCUUGUGAUGCAGCGAGCGCCGGGCGAGGUCCGCGCUUCGGCUAGGAUGCUGGCGUAAUGGUCGUAAUCCGCCCGUCUUGAAACACGGACCAAAAUAACACCCCGGCGAUCUGUCCGCUCUGUUCUUCUUGGUUUCAUUUUCCCCCUCCUGUUAGUUUUCGAAAUGUUAGUCU
This 667-nucleotide ribosomal RNA is filed under the name Cladosporium cladosporioides. RNAcentral describes it as "eukaryotic LSU rRNA". The stretch from base 1 to 582 matches the Rfam family "Eukaryotic large subunit ribosomal RNA", at positions 56 to 664 of the family's 3401-position model. Lineage: Eukaryota; Fungi; Ascomycota; Dothideomycetes; Cladosporiales; Cladosporiaceae. The record is from RNAcentral.